Molecule: transfer RNA, 84 nt
Filed under: Oryza meridionalis
Lineage: Eukaryota; Viridiplantae; Streptophyta; Magnoliopsida; Poales; Poaceae
Rfam family: tRNA
About the family: Transfer RNA (tRNA) molecules are approximately 80 nucleotides in length. Their secondary structure includes four short double-helical elements and three loops (D, anti-codon, and T loops).
Source: Rfam by way of RNAcentral
GUCAGGAUGGCCGAGUGGUCUAAGGCGCCAAACUCAAGUUCUGGUCCUCUAAAGAGGGUGUGUGUUCAAAUCCCACUUCUGACA